Molecule: unclassified non-coding RNA, 129 nt
Filed under: uncultured Leotiomycetes
Lineage: Eukaryota; Fungi; Ascomycota; Leotiomycetes
Description: sequence contains ITS1
Source: RNAcentral
CCGAGCUCAUGCCCUUCGGGGUAGACCUCCAUCCGUGCCUAUCCAACAGUGUUGCUUUGGAGGUUGCCCCCAACCGCCGGAGGCCCAAACCCUGAUAGUCAGUGUCGUCCGAGUACUAUACAAUAGUUA